This 499-nucleotide ribosomal RNA is filed under the name uncultured bacterium. RNAcentral's name for it is "partial 16S ribosomal RNA". It matches the Rfam family "Bacterial small subunit ribosomal RNA", at positions 28 to 507 of the family's 1533-position model. The record is from RNAcentral.
GACGAACGCUGGCGGCGUGCCUAAUACAUGCAAGUCGAGCGAAGUUUUUCUGGUGCUUGCACCGGAAAAACUUAGCGGCGAACGGGUGAGUAACACGUAAAGAACCUGCCUCAUAGACUGGGACAACUAUUGGAAACGAUAGCUAAUACCGGAUAAUAGCAUUAACUGCAUGGUUGAUGUUUAAAAGUUGGUUUUGCUAACACUAUGAGAUGGCUUUGCGGUGCAUUAGCUAGUUGGUGGGGUAAAGGCCUACCAAGACGACGAUGCAUAGCCGACCUGAGAGGGUGAUCGGCCACACUGGGACUGAGACACGGCCCAGACUCCUACGGGAGGCAGCAGUAGGGAAUCUUCCGCAAUGGGCGAAAGCCUGACGGAGCAACGCCGCGUGAGUGAAGAAGGAUUUCGGUUCGUAAAGCUCUGUUGUUAGGGAAGAAUGAUUGUGUAGUAACUAUACACAGUAGAGACGGUACCUAACCAGAAAGCCACGGCUAACUACGUG